CGCCUGUUUAUCAAAAACAUUGUAAAUAAUAUUUAUAUCACCUGCUCAAUGAAUAGUUUAAAUAGCCGCGUUAGUGCUAAGGUAGCAUAGUAAUUAGUUUUUUAAUUGAGAAAUAGAAUGAAUGGUAUCACUAAGAUAUCUUUUUUAGGACAUAUUUUGAAAUUUUAGUUUAAGUGAAAAUACUUAAGAACUUUUUUUAGACGAGAAGACCCUAUGAAGCUGGUAGAUAUUAAAUAUAAUUAUUUAUCUUAGUAAAAAUCUAUUUUUUGGGGUAAAAAUUAAAAUUAUUAUUUAAAUAUAUAUAUAUAAAAUGAGCCUCUUGGAAUAAUAAAGAAGCUCCUCUAGGGAUAACAGCAUUAUACCUAUAAGAGUUCUUAUCAGAAUAGGUGUUUGUGACCUCGAUGUUGAAU
RNAcentral lists this ribosomal RNA (410 nucleotides) under Neocalanus cristatus. RNAcentral's name for it is "partial 16S ribosomal RNA". Lineage: Eukaryota; Metazoa; Arthropoda; Copepoda; Calanoida; Calanidae. The record is from RNAcentral.